Non-coding RNA from Aspergillus hancockii, 96 nucleotides. Lineage: Eukaryota; Fungi; Ascomycota; Eurotiomycetes; Eurotiales; Aspergillaceae. The record is from the annotation of a GenBank genome assembly.
GGUUCUAUAGUCUAGUGGUCAGGACGUCGGAUUUUGAAAACUCCUUACUGGAGUUGAAGCCUUCCGAAAGCACGAGUUCGAACCUCGUUAGGACCU